This 253-nucleotide ribosomal RNA is filed under the name uncultured bacterium. RNAcentral describes it as "partial 16S ribosomal RNA". It matches the Rfam family "Bacterial small subunit ribosomal RNA", at positions 524 to 776 of the family's 1533-position model. The record is from RNAcentral.
UACGGAGGGCGCAAGCGUUAUUCGGAAUUAUUGGGUGUAAAGGGUGCGUAGGCGGCUAUGUAAGUCAGGGGUGAAAGCGCGCAGCUUAACUGGGAAACUGCCCUUGAUACUGCAGAGCUUGAGAGAUGUAGAGGUCAGUGGAACUUGACGUGUAGCGGUGAAAUGCAUAGAUAUGUCGAAGAACACCAAUGGCGAAGGCGGAUGGCUGGGCCUUCUCUGACGCUGGGGCAAGAAAGCGAGGGGAGCGAACAGG